RNAcentral lists this transfer RNA (93 nucleotides) under Cercospora zeae-maydis SCOH1-5. It matches the Rfam family "tRNA". From Rfam's summary of the family: Transfer RNA (tRNA) molecules are approximately 80 nucleotides in length. Their secondary structure includes four short double-helical elements and three loops (D, anti-codon, and T loops). Lineage: Eukaryota; Fungi; Ascomycota; Dothideomycetes; Mycosphaerellales; Mycosphaerellaceae. The record is from Rfam by way of RNAcentral.
GGCCUCAUGGCGCAGUGGUAGCGCAUGUGAUUCCAGUGCAAAGACUUCCGCCGGGCUUCCACAAGGUCAUCCGUUCAAAUCGGGUUGAGGUCA